GGGGAUUUAGUCCAGUGGUUCUGGUACCUGCCUCGCAAGCACAAGGACCUGAGUUCAAUCCCCAGUACCCCCA
Molecule: transfer RNA, 73 nt
Filed under: Fukomys damarensis (Damara mole-rat)
Lineage: Eukaryota; Metazoa; Chordata; Mammalia; Rodentia; Bathyergidae
Rfam family: tRNA
About the family: Transfer RNA (tRNA) molecules are approximately 80 nucleotides in length. Their secondary structure includes four short double-helical elements and three loops (D, anti-codon, and T loops).
Source: Rfam by way of RNAcentral